GAUGAACGCUGGCGGCGUGCCUAAUACAUGCAAGUUGUGCGGUAACAGAGAGAGCUUGCUCUCUGCUGACGAGCGGCGGACGGCAGAGUAACGCGUAGGAACAUACCCCAAACUGAGGGAUAACUGCUCGAAAGAGUAGCUAAUACCGCAUGUGGUCUUCGGAUUAAAAGCUUCGGCGGUUUGGGAGUGGCCUGCGUCCGAUUAGCUAGUUGGUGAGGUAAUUGCUCACCAAGGCGACGAUCGGUAGCUGGUCUGAGAGGAUGAUCAGCCUGACUGGAACUGAGAACGGUCCAGACUCCUACGGAGGCAGCAGUAGGGAAUUUUCCACAAUGGGCGAAAGCCUGAUGGAGCAACGCCGCGUGCAGGAUGAAUGCCUUCGGUUGGUAAACUGCUUUCUGUGUGAAGAAUAUGACGGUAACACAGGAAU
Molecule: ribosomal RNA, 427 nt
Filed under: uncultured bacterium
Lineage: Bacteria
Description: bacterial SSU rRNA
Rfam family: Bacterial small subunit ribosomal RNA
Source: RNAcentral